UACGAAGGGGGCUAGCGUUGCUCGGAAUGACUGGGCGUAAAGGGCGCGUAGGCGGUUUGUACAGUCAGGUGUGAAAUUCCCGGGCUCAACCUGGGGGCUGCACUUGAUACGUAUGGACUGGAGUGGGGAAGAGGGUCGUGGAAUUCCCAGUGUAGAGGUGAAAUUCGUAGAUAUUGGGAAGAACACCGGUGGCGAAGGCGGCGACCUGGUCCUUGACUGACGCUGAGGCGCGAAAGCUAGGGGAGCAAACGGG
RNAcentral lists this ribosomal RNA (253 nucleotides) under uncultured bacterium. RNAcentral's name for it is "partial 16S ribosomal RNA". It matches the Rfam family "Bacterial small subunit ribosomal RNA", at positions 524 to 776 of the family's 1533-position model. The record is from RNAcentral.